Molecule: long non-coding RNA, 830 nt
Filed under: Callithrix jacchus (white-tufted-ear marmoset)
Lineage: Eukaryota; Metazoa; Chordata; Mammalia; Primates; Cebidae
Description: lncRNA (ENSCJAG00000084704.1)
Source: RNAcentral
UCCAAGUCUAUUCUAAUCUCUGCCUUUCAACUAUAGCACUUAGUUCAUUAAAUAUUAAUGUAAUUUUUGGCCUGAUUGUACUUAGGCUAUAAUUUUGUCACUACUUUUUAAUAUGGCUGUUAUCACUCAUAAUCGGAGAACAUUCAGAGGCUAAGGCAAGAGGAUCACUUGAUCUCAGGUAUUGAGACCAGCUUGAAUAACAGCAAUAUCCCCAUCUCUACAGAAAGUUAAAAAGUUAGCUGGGCAGGGUGCCAUGUGCCUGUAGUCCUAGUAACAUGGGGCUGAGGUAGCAGGAUUGCUUGAAACUGGGGAAGAGAAGAUUGCGUAGAAGUGAAAUUGUGCCACUGUUCACUGUACUCCUGCUUUGGCAACAAAACUUUAACAUCCUGACAAGAUCCCCAAGCCAGAAGCUAAUAUUAAGAAAAGCAACAGUUUUGGACUACAGCAUCUAACUUCCUCUUCCUGCCGAGGGCAACUCUUCAAUCAAUCAUCUUUUCUGAAGAAUGCCUUGUUUGUUUACUUUGUUUUUCUUUAUUCUUUAUCUUCCAAUAUACCAUUUUAUAAUUAUAAUGCAGUAGUAUCAUAUAUCUAUCUAUAUUGGAACAUUUUAAUUGUGUUUUUGCUUUGUCUUGUUUUUGUAUUUUUACUUAUCUUGUAGAUAAAAAUAAUUUUCUGCUAUACUCUGAAGCAAAAAUGGAAGAAGAAAAGAAUAAAUGCCAAAUAAAAUUCAGGCUACCACUAAAAAUGCUGUGAUCUAAACGCAGUUGUUUUAGAAGGUACUAAAAUGAAAUCUGGGUUUCUUAGGCUAUCAGAAUUAUUUUAAGAGUUUU